This 2876-nucleotide long non-coding RNA is filed under the name Homo sapiens (human). Its description in RNAcentral is "HSALNT0312270". The record is from RNAcentral. Lineage: Eukaryota; Metazoa; Chordata; Mammalia; Primates; Hominidae.
AUGAACUUUGCCAGUUUUAAAGCACUGGUUCAAAGUUUUCUUUUUUUUAAAAAAAGGGUGAACCAAACAAAACACAUCUGGGAGCCAUAUUUGGUCCUCAGAUGACAAGCUUGCAAUGCCUUGUUUAUAUAUUUGUCUCUCACUUGGUUUCUCUCAUACUUCAUCUCUCCAAAAGCAGUAAUUGCAUUACUCUUUCUGUAUUCUCAGGGCCCAGGAUACUGACCAACUCACAAAAAGGGUCAGGAAAUGUGUGUUGAAAUGAAUAGUACAUUUUGGAAGUGGUCUACUUUGGCAUUAUAGUCCAUGUAGGUUUAUUUGAGGCCCAGCUGGUGACAGCUUUCCAAUUCAAGUUAUGAAGAGCUGGGGAGAGAGCAUAUUUUGACAGCUGAUCAUAAUUCUUGGAAUAUUUUGUCCCAGGGCCCUGGUCUGCCGGGUCUUAGAACUGGGUGCAAAGUCACAUCUUGAAAUUGAUGUUCACGUGAAUUUGAGUUCUUAGUACAGGAAUAGAAUCUAUUCUCUGCCCUGAAGUGAUUUGAUUGUGAAAUGUGUAGCUUUACCAACAAGAACGAAUGAAGUUUAUGUAUACCAUUUAGGGAGGUUUUAAAUUUGGCAGGAAAGUUCCUAAUAAUACAACUUGUUUGGACUUUUCUAUAGAUAAAUUGGGACCCUAACCUUUACCCCAGGAGUGGACAGUGUCAGAACAUGAUUAACCUCUAAGACCGGUAGUCAUCUGUUUUUCAGUGCCAGCAUUACAUGGUAGAAUUUUGUUUUUUGUUUUUUGCAAACCAGUGUAGCCCUUCUUGCUUUCCUGCCUGCAUAAUGGAUUGUUCUGCAUUGCAUAAUUCAUGUCGGGCACCAGGUUUGCUGCACUAGGAUGAGGAAAGGGAUUCAGGUAAUUCAGAUGAGAAAUUUAGUCAGUGCAGUUUUUUUUCUAUCAAGGAGCCAAGAAAGGUCCUCUAUUAAAUUAAAACUAUAAAAUUGUCAGCAAAAGUCCAAUGCAGGGUUAAAAUCUUACUUGGUUUGGACUUGUACUGUGUGUCUUUUCUCUCCUUCUCUAGUCCCCUUUCCCCCUCCAUUUCCAUAUCAGAAUGGAACAUUCCAAUAGACUGUCUAGGAAUUCAAAUUUUAGAUAGGAUAUUCUAUAUGUAAUCCAGAACUUCUGAUGUGAGAUGCAACUUAGGAGAGUUUUCAAGUUUAGACUACUGUAUGCCCCGAUCCACUUCCUUCAUUGUGGUCACUGCUUUUGGAGCACCCAGAAGUCCCCUAGCUUGGCGUGAAGUUUGACUUCUUUCUGCUACUAUAAAAUGCUCAAGGAUAAUGUGGCACAAAAAGCUUAUAUUUCAUGGUGUUUCAGGCUGGGCGAUCCCAGGUUAAAUUUCUGUGCUUUCGUCUUUGUUAAAGAGUUUAGCCAUGUCACAGUGCAAAUGCACAGUUAAGUUCCUCCACAGUGUAUAUGAAACCUGUUUUAUUUCAGUUAGGAUUAGCAGAGCACUCUAGCUGACCCUAAGUGAACUCUAGGUACAUAUGUGAUAAAUGCAUAUUGCUAUAUGCCACUGAGGUUUCGUGAUUGUUAAUUAUAUGGCAUUAUAAUGGCAAUAGGUAACAGAGACAAUGAGAUUCCAUGUUCGAAUGGCUGACACGUGUCCAAAAGCUAUGGGUUAAUUUGGGACUUUGAAUCUUGAGUUUAGGCAAAGAUGGAAAAAAAUCCCCAGUAAUUGUUCAUUCCAGUGUAAGGACAGCAGAUGAGACUGUUGUUUCGGAUACCUACAUCCAAGGAAAUGUCCUGGCUUCUGCCUAUUUGAAUCUAUGAGCCACAUUUAUUAACCCUAUAAAUUUAUUUUUCUUUUAAAAUUAAAAAGAGAAAACUUUUGAAGACACAAAGUGUUAUCUCAAUAUUGAUAUAUUAUACAUGUGUCAUUAUUUAUAAGAGAAAAAUCGGGAAAAUAGGAUGCCCAGCAAAGGAAAAAUUCAUGUAGCUGUUGCCUAGGUAUGUCUCUUCAACUCCGUGGGAAAAUACUGCCAUAGGGAAGAAAGGCCCUGGCUUUCUUAAGCAAUGUGAAUUUGUUUCUGCGACAUUUUAGCUAAAAAUGUAAGCUCAAGAUAUUCUGUGUGAAAUAAAUUAUCCCAAAGAAAGAUAAUUGUGAGAAGAAGCCAUUAAUGGGAAUAAGACAGCUGGUUGUAAGGAUUGGAGGCUUUUUUUUGGUGGAAGGAGCUUAUCCAUGGGGUUUAAUACAACAUGGUGAGUCACCCUGUUGCCUGAAUUCCAGAGGGGAAAGAGACAUUCGGGAAAAGGCUGCGGGGGAAAUUUGCAGUCCUGUGCACCUGUUACCAGGCACUUAUAUUCACCUGAUGGCUGCUAACAGAUUGCAGGCACAGCUUCUUGAAGAAAAUCAUCAACUUUGAACACAGUACCCCACACAUUGGAUUUGGGUGAAUGGAAAGUAUAUCAGAAUUACCUGGGAGAGUUUUCAAGUUAUAGUCACCGGGGCGUGGCUUUAUUAGUGAUUCUGACUCAUGUCUCCCUGCUCAGCACAGUCCUGAUACUCCACCUCCAAAGAGUGGUCCACAGAACAGCCACUUACAUAGAAUCAGGCAGGGUGUUUGUUAAAUAUGGGGAUUACUAGACCCCAUCCCAGACCUACGGGAUCAGAAUCCUGGGGGUGUGGACUCUGUGAAUCCAGUGUUUAAAGGUGCUCUGGCUGAAUGUGGCAAGUCCAGCGUGUGAUGCUCCAGGCUCUAAAAUAUUGGCCUUUCUUCCAGUUAUCUAACAAGUGAUGGUAACAGACCCCACUGUACACUCGAAUGAACACUGAUUGUGGGAGGCAGUCAAGAAUAGAAAGACAAAUUGAGUUAUUUGAGCUGCAAGUUCUUCUAGG